GCCGGGCGCGGUGGCUCAAGCCUGUAAUCCCAGCACUGUGGGAGGCCGAGACGGGCGGAUCACGAGGUCAGGAGAUCGAGACCAUUCUGGCUAACACGGUGAAACCCCAUCUCUACUAAAAAUACAAAAAAAAACUAGCCUCCCGAGUAGCUGGGACUACAGGCGCCCGCCACCUCGCCCAGCUAGUUUUUUGUAUUUUUUUAGUAGAGAUGGGGUUUCACCGUGUUAGCCAGGAUGGUCUCGAUCUCCUGACCUCGUGAUCCGCCCGUCUCGG
RNAcentral lists this signal recognition particle RNA (274 nucleotides) under Chlorocebus sabaeus (green monkey). RNAcentral describes it as "Metazoan signal recognition particle RNA". It matches the Rfam family "Metazoan signal recognition particle RNA". Rfam says of the family: The signal recognition particle (SRP) is a universally conserved ribonucleoprotein. The record is from Rfam by way of RNAcentral. Lineage: Eukaryota; Metazoa; Chordata; Mammalia; Primates; Cercopithecidae.